Molecule: long non-coding RNA, 201 nt
Filed under: Elaeis guineensis (African oil palm)
Lineage: Eukaryota; Viridiplantae; Streptophyta; Magnoliopsida; Arecales; Arecaceae
Description: long non-coding RNA (EGUI_LNC028388)
Source: RNAcentral
GCAUAGCAGAAAACAAGGAAGCCAACAAGUUUAUAUCCCACAAAUGAUUAGGGCCAAUUAAAUUUUGUAAUUAAAGGUUUGGGCUACAAGCUUGAACAUUGAUAUAAGUAGGAUAUUAAAUAAGAGGAGUUAUAGAUAACUAAGGGUCCAUAAGGACAUUGAUGUUAGCAUCCAUCUCAAUUGUCCAAAGAAAAUGGCCUC